GAGGUUCUUUUGAACCUAGCGGCGAAUGGGUGAGUAACACGUGCUUAAUCUACCCUUUAGAUUGGAAUACCCAAUGGAAACAUUGGCUAAUGCCGGAUACGCAUGGAAUCGCAUGAUUCCGUUGUGAAAGGAGCCUUUAAAGCUCCGCUAGAGGAUGAGGGUGCGGAACAUUAGUUAGUUGGUAGGGUAAUGGCCUACCAAGACUAUGAUGUUUAGCCGGGUCGAGAGACUGAACGGCCACAUUGGGACUGAGAUACGGCCCAAACUCCUACGGGAGGCAGCAGUAGGGAAUAUUCCACAAUGAGCGAAAGCUUGAUGGAGCGACACAGCGUGCACGAUGAAGGUCUUCGGAUUGUAAAGUGCUGUUAUAGGGAAAGAACACCUGGUUGAGGAAAUGCUUCCAGGCUGACGGUACCCUGUCAGAAAGCGAUGGCUAACUAUGUGCCAGCAGCCGCGGUAAUACAUAGGUCGCAAGCGUUAUCCGGAAUUAUUGGGCGUAAAGCGUUCGUAGGCUGUUUAUUAAGUCUGGAGUCAAAUCCCAGGGCUCAACCCUGGCUCGCUUUGGAUACUGGUAAACUAGAGUUAGAUAGAGGUAAGCGGAAUUCCAUGUGAAGCGGUGAAAUGCGUAGAUAUAUGGAAGAACACCAAAGGCGAAGGCAGCUUACUGGGUCUAUACUGACGCUGAGGGACGAAAGCGUGGGGAGCAAACAGGAUUAGAUACCCUGGUAGUCCACGCCGUAAACGAUGAUCAUUAGUCGGUGGAGAGUUCACUGACGCAGCUAACGCAUUAAAUGAUCCGCCUGAGUAGUAUGCUCGCAAGAGUGAAACUUAAAGGAAUUGACGGGGACCCGCACAAGCGGUGGAGCAUGUGGUUUAAUUUGAAGAUACGCGGAGAACCUUACCCACUCUUGACAUCCUUCGCAAUGCUAUAGAGAUAUAGCGGAGGUUAACGGAGUGACAGAUGGUGCAUGGUUGUCGUCAGCUCGUGUCGUGAGAUGUUUGGUCAAGUCCUGCAACGAGCGCAACCCCUAUCUUUAGUUACUAACGAGUCAUGUCGAGGACUCUAGAGAUACUGCCUGGGUAACUGGGAGGAAGGUGGGGAUGACGUCAAAUCAUCAUGCCUCUUACGAGUGGGGCAACACACGUGCUACAAUGGUCGGUACAAAGAGAAGCAAUAUGGCGACAUGGAGCAAAUCUCAAAAAGCCGAUCUCAGUUCGGAUUGGAGUCUGCAAUUCGACUCCAUGAAGUCGGAAUCGCUAGUAAUCGCAGAUCAGCUACGCUGCGGUGAAUACGUUCUCGGGUCUUGUACACACCGCCCGUCACACCAUGGGAGCUGGUAAUACCCAAAGUCGGU
This 1355-nucleotide ribosomal RNA is filed under the name Mycoplasmopsis arginini. RNAcentral's name for it is "Mycoplasma arginini partial 16S ribosomal RNA". It matches the Rfam family "Bacterial small subunit ribosomal RNA", at positions 68 to 1431 of the family's 1533-position model. Lineage: Bacteria; Bacillati; Mycoplasmatota; Mycoplasmoidales; Metamycoplasmataceae. The record is from RNAcentral.